Mus musculus (house mouse) is the source of this 314-nucleotide long non-coding RNA. RefSeq annotates it as predicted gene, 46785. NCBI's taxonomy places the organism in Eukaryota, Metazoa, Chordata, Mammalia, Rodentia, Muridae. The transcript is spliced from 3 exons. The record is from RefSeq and is a predicted model, not a curated record.
CACAGUUACCAGGCAACAGCCAGGCAUGCUUCUCCCCUCAGUUACCUGGCAACAGUCAGCAUAUCUGUCUUAGAAGAAAAUUCUACUACCAGAGUUACAAGGAAAUUGAAAUCAGACCGUGAUGUGGCCAGUUCCAGCUGCAUGUAUCUCAUAGACAUCUUCUGUUGUCAUCGUUACCACCAUGGCAGACACACGUCAGUACUUGUUCUUGAUGCUUCUCGCUCACCGGAGGGCAAAUCUGUUCUGCUCAUUUGUGAAUCCUGGAAUAUCCCAGGAUAUUUGACAGUGUUUGCCCAGUUCAUAUUUCCUGGAUA